UGGGGAAUAUUGCACAAUGGGGGAAACCCUGAUGCAGCGACGCCGCGUGAGCGAUGAAGGCUUUCGAGUCGUAAAGCUCUGUCCUAUGGGAAGAUAAUGACGGUACCAUAGAAGAAAGCCCCGGCUAAUUACGUGCCAGCAGCCGCGGUAAUACGUAAGGGGCGAGCGUUGUCCGGAAUUAUUGGGCGUAAAGAGUGCGUAGGCGGCAAAUUAAGUCAGAUGUGAAAACUAAGGGCUCAACCCAUAGAUUGCAUCUGAAACUGAUAUGCUUGAGUCAAGGAGAGGAAAGUGGAAUUCCUAGUGUAGCGGUGGAAUGCGUAGAUAUUAGGAGGAAUACCGGUGGCGAAGGCGACUUUCUGGACUUGAACUGACGCUGAGGCACGAAGGCGUGGGGAGCAAACAGG
This 404-nucleotide ribosomal RNA is filed under the name Verrucomicrobiota bacterium. RNAcentral's name for it is "Verrucomicrobia bacterium partial 16S ribosomal RNA". It matches the Rfam family "Bacterial small subunit ribosomal RNA", at positions 355 to 776 of the family's 1533-position model. Lineage: Bacteria; Pseudomonadati; Verrucomicrobiota. The record is from RNAcentral.